UACGUAGGGUGCAAGCGUUGUCCGGAAUUAUUGGGCGUAAAGAGCUCGUAGGCGGUCUGUCGCGUCUGCUGUGAAAACUCAGGGCUUAACCCUGAGCUUGCAGUGGGUACGGGCAGACUAGAGUGCGGUAGGGGAGACUGGAAUUCCUGGUGUAGCGGUGAAAUGCGCAGAUAUCUGGAGGAACACCGGUGGCGAAGGCGGCAUCCUGGACCAAUAUUGACGCUGAGGAGCGAAAGCCAGGGGAGCAAACGGG
This 253-nucleotide ribosomal RNA is filed under the name uncultured bacterium. RNAcentral describes it as "partial 16S ribosomal RNA". It matches the Rfam family "Bacterial small subunit ribosomal RNA", at positions 524 to 776 of the family's 1533-position model. The record is from RNAcentral.